UUGCUAUAGAAAUUUUGGGGCUUCUGAU
This 28-nucleotide small RNA is filed under the name Bombyx mori (domestic silkworm). Its description in RNAcentral is "piRNA piR-bmo-1774870". Lineage: Eukaryota; Metazoa; Arthropoda; Insecta; Lepidoptera; Bombycidae. The record is from RNAcentral.